Small nuclear RNA from Myotis lucifugus (little brown bat), 63 nucleotides. Its record names the gene U7. It matches the Rfam family "U7 small nuclear RNA". Rfam says of the family: Animal histone pre-mRNAs are spliced by a different mechanism than nuclear pre-mRNAs and self-splicing introns. This processing involves the U7 snRNP, which contains only one RNA species: U7. Lineage: Eukaryota; Metazoa; Chordata; Mammalia; Chiroptera; Vespertilionidae. The record is from Ensembl.
UACUGCUUACAGCUCCUUUUUGAAUUUGUCUAGUAGGUCUUCGGUUUUUACCGGAAGGCUCUU